AAUUAGGUGGCCUAUUGGUUACAGCGUCCGCCUCGGGUGCGGAAGGACGUGGGUUCGAACACCAGUUUAGUCA
This is a non-coding RNA of Potamilus streckersoni, 73 nucleotides long. The record is from the annotation of a GenBank genome assembly. NCBI's taxonomy places the organism in Eukaryota, Metazoa, Mollusca, Bivalvia, Unionida, Unionidae.